UUAUUUUUAUUUGUUUUUUGCUCAGACUGCAUUGAAAACCGGAGUUUGGGGGCCUCUGGCAAGCACUCGCCGGCGAAACGCCGGCAUAAGGUGACCUCAAGGCCUGCCAAAGCAACAAAGGUAAGAUAUACAAAGGGUGAAGAGGGCGGGGCCGGGGCCGCGCACUGGCUCGUGGCCAGUUCUCUUUAAUGAUCCUUCCGCAGGUUCACCUACGGAAA
Molecule: unclassified non-coding RNA, 218 nt
Filed under: uncultured fungus
Lineage: Eukaryota; Fungi
Description: sequence contains ITS1
Source: RNAcentral